UCCGGUUUGUCACCGGCAGUCCCAUUAGAGUGCCCAACUUAAUGUGGCAACUAAUGGCAAGGGUUGCGCUCGUUGCGGGACUUAACCCAACAUCUCACGACACGAGCUGACGACAGCCAUGCAGCACCUGUGUUACGGUUCCCUUUCGGGCACACCUCCAUCUCUGGAGGCUUCCGUACAUGUCAAGGGUAGGUAAGGUGGGGAUGACGUCACACGCAAUAACA
This 224-nucleotide unclassified non-coding RNA is filed under the name uncultured Gammaproteobacteria bacterium. Its description in RNAcentral is "contains 16S-23S intergenic spacer region". The record is from RNAcentral. Lineage: Bacteria; Pseudomonadati; Pseudomonadota; Gammaproteobacteria.